RNAcentral lists this ribosomal RNA (195 nucleotides) under uncultured bacterium. RNAcentral's name for it is "partial 16S ribosomal RNA". It matches the Rfam family "Bacterial small subunit ribosomal RNA", at positions 1305 to 1500 of the family's 1533-position model. The record is from RNAcentral.
CUGAAAUUCGCCUUCAUGAAGCUGGAAUUGCUAGUAAUGGCAGGUCAGCAUACUGCCGUGAAUACGUUCCCGGGCCUUGUACACACCGCCCGUCACACCAUGAGAGUUGGGAAUACCCGAAGCCUGUGAGCUAACUUAUAGAGGCAGCAGUCGAAGGUAGAAUCAAUGAUUGGGGUGAAGUCGUAACAAGGUAAC